This 694-nucleotide ribosomal RNA is filed under the name uncultured bacterium. RNAcentral describes it as "bacterial SSU rRNA". It matches the Rfam family "Bacterial small subunit ribosomal RNA", at positions 32 to 715 of the family's 1533-position model. The record is from RNAcentral.
AACGCUAGCUACAGGCUUAACACAUGCAAGUCGAGGGGCAGCAUGAGCUUAGCUUGCUAAGUUUGAUGGCGACCGGCGCACGGGUGAGUAACGCGUAUCCAACCUUCCGUACACUCAGGGAUAGCCUUUCGAAAGAAAGAUUAAUACCUGAUGGUAUGAUGAGAUUACAUGGUAACAUCAUUAAAGAUUUAUCGGUGUACGAUGGGGAUGCGUUCCAUUAGGUAGUAGGCGGGGUAACGGCCCACCUAGCCUACGAUGGAUAGGGGUUCUGAGAGGAAGGUCCCCCACAUUGGAACUGAGACACGGUCCAAACUCCUACGGGAGGCAGCAGUGAGGAAUAUUGGUCAAUGGGCGAGAGUCUGAACCAGCCAAGUAGCGUGAAGGAUGAAGGUCCUACGGAUUGUAAACUUCUUUUAUAAGGGAAUAAAACCUCCCACGUGUGGGAGCUUGUAUGUACCUUAUGAAUAAGCAUCGGCUAACUCCGUGCCAGCAGCCGCGGUAAUACGGAGGAUGCGAGCGUUAUCCGGAUUUAUUGGGUUUAAAGGGAGCGCAGACGGGUCGUUAAGUCAGCUGUGAAAGUUUGGGGCUCAACCUUAAAAUUGCAGUUGAUACUGGCGUCCUUGAGUGCGGUUGAGGUGUGCGGAAUUCGUGGUGUAGCGGUGAAAUGCUUAGAUAUCACGAAGAACUCCGAUUG